GGUGAGAUGGCCGAGCGGUCUAAGGCGCCAGACUAAGGAGGGAGGUGGGAUUCGAACCCACACCCUGGCUAUCUGGUCCGAAAGGGCGUGGGUUCGAAUCCCACUCUCAUCA
This 112-nucleotide transfer RNA is filed under the name Wolfiporia cocos MD-104 SS10. RNAcentral describes it as "Wolfiporia cocos (strain MD-104) (brown rot fungus) tRNA". It matches the Rfam family "tRNA". Rfam says of the family: Transfer RNA (tRNA) molecules are approximately 80 nucleotides in length. Their secondary structure includes four short double-helical elements and three loops (D, anti-codon, and T loops). Lineage: Eukaryota; Fungi; Basidiomycota; Agaricomycetes; Polyporales; Phaeolaceae. The record is from Rfam by way of RNAcentral.